CCUACGGGUGGCAGCAGUGGGGGAUAUUGCACAAUGGGGGAAACCCUGAUGCAGCGAUGCCGCGUGAAUGAAGAAGGCCUUCGGGUUGUAAAGUUCUGUCGCAGGGGACGAAAAUGACGGUACCCUGCAAGAAAACCCCGGCAAACUACGGGCCAGCAGCCGCGGUAAAACGUAGGGGGCAAGGGUUGUCCGGAAUUACCGGGGGAAAAGGGAGCGUAGGCGGGAGGAUAAGUUGAAUGUGAAAUCUAUGGGCUCAACCCAUAGCUGCGUUCAAAACUGUUCUUCUUGAGUAAAGUAGAGGCAGGCGGAAUUCCUAGUGUAGCGGUGAAAUGCGUAGAUAUUAGGAGGAACACCAGUGGCGAAGGCGUCCUGCUGGGCUUUUACUGACGCUGAGGCUCGAAAGCGUGGGGAGCAAACAGGAUUAGAUACCCGUGUAGUC
This 439-nucleotide ribosomal RNA is filed under the name uncultured bacterium. RNAcentral describes it as "partial 16S ribosomal RNA". It matches the Rfam family "Bacterial small subunit ribosomal RNA", at positions 338 to 795 of the family's 1533-position model. The record is from RNAcentral.